This 1489-nucleotide ribosomal RNA is filed under the name Lactiplantibacillus plantarum. RNAcentral describes it as "partial 16S ribosomal RNA". It matches the Rfam family "Bacterial small subunit ribosomal RNA". The record is from RNAcentral. Lineage: Bacteria; Bacillati; Bacillota; Bacilli; Lactobacillales; Lactobacillaceae.
UGGCUCAGGACGAACGCUGGCGGCGUGCCUAAUACAUGCAAGUCGAACGAACUCUGGUAUUGAUUGGUGCUUGCAUCAUGAUUUACAUUUGAGUGAGUGGCGAACUGGUGAGUAACACGUGGGAAACCUGCCCAGAAGCGGGGGAUAACACCUGGAAACAGAUGCUAAUACCGCAUAACAACUUGGACCGCAUGGUCCGAGCUUGAAAGAUGGCUUCGGCUAUCACUUUUGGAUGGUCCCGCGGCGUAUUAGCUAGAUGGUGGGGUAACGGCUCACCAUGGCAAUGAUACGUAGCCGACCUGAGAGGGUAAUCGGCCACAUUGGGACUGAGACACGGCCCAAACUCCUACGGGAGGCAGCAGUAGGGAAUCUUCCACAAUGGACGAAAGUCUGAUGGAGCAACGCCGCGUGAGUGAAGAAGGGUUUCGGCUCGUAAAACUCUGUUGUUAAAGAAGAACAUAUCUGAGAGUAACUGUUCAGGUAUUGACGGUAUUUAACCAGAAAGCCACGGCUAACUACGUGCCAGCAGCCGCGGUAAUACGUAGGUGGCAAGCGUUGUCCGGAUUUAUUGGGCGUAAAGCGAGCGCAGGCGGUUUUUUAAGUCUGAUGUGAAAGCCUUCGGCUCAACCGAAGAAGUGCAUCGGAAACUGGGAAACUUGAGUGCAGAAGAGGACAGUGGAACUCCAUGUGUAGCGGUGAAAUGCGUAGAUAUAUGGAAGAACACCAGUGGCGAAGGCGGCUGUCUGGUCUGUAACUGACGCUGAGGCUCGAAAGUAUGGGUAGCAAACAGGAUUAGAUACCCUGGUAGUCCAUACCGUAAACGAUGAAUGCUAAGUGUUGGAGGGUUUCCGCCCUUCAGUGCUGCAGCUAACGCAUUAAGCAUUCCGCCUGGGGAGUACGGCCGCAAGGCUGAAACUCAAAGGAAUUGACGGGGGCCCGCACAAGCGGUGGAGCAUGUGGUUUAAUUCGAAGCUACGCGAAGAACCUUACCAGGUCUUGACAUACUAUGCAAAUCUAAGAGAUUAGACGUUCCCUUCGGGGACAUGGAUACAGGUGGUGCAUGGUUGUCGUCAGCUCGUGUCGUGAGAUGUUGGGUUAAGUCCCGCAACGAGCGCAACCCUUAUUAUCAGUUGCCAGCAUUAAGUUGGGCACUCUGGUGAGACUGCCGGUGACAAACCGGAGGAAGGUGGGGAUGACGUCAAAUCAUCAUGCCCCUUAUGACCUGGGCUACACACGUGCUACAAUGGAUGGUACAACGAGUUGCGAACUCGCGAGAGUAAGCUAAUCUCUUAAAGCCAUUCUCAGUUCGGAUUGUAGGCUGCAACUCGCCUACAUGAAGUCGGAAUCGCUAGUAAUCGCGGAUCAGCAUGCCGCGGUGAAUACGUUCCCGGGCCUUGUACACACCGCCCGUCACACCAUGAGAGUUUGUAACACCCAAAGUCGGUGGGGUAACCUUUUAGGAACCAGCCGCCUAAGGUGGGACAGAUGA